This 402-nucleotide ribosomal RNA is filed under the name uncultured prokaryote. Its description in RNAcentral is "bacterial SSU rRNA". It matches the Rfam family "Bacterial small subunit ribosomal RNA", at positions 355 to 774 of the family's 1533-position model. The record is from RNAcentral.
UAGGGAAUAUUAGAAAUGGACGAAAGUCUGAUCUAGCAACACCGCGUGUGCGAAGAAGGCCUUCGGGUUGUAAAGCACUUUUUGGAAGGAUUAGGAAGGAAUGUACUUCCAGAAUAAGUCUCGGCUAACUACGUGCCAGCAGCCGCGGUAACACGUAGGAGGCAAACGUUAUCCGGAUUUACUGGGCGUAAAGCGCGUGUAGGUGGUUCUGUAAGUAGGGCGUGAAAGCUCCUGGCUCAACUGGGAGAGGCCGUUCUAAACUGCAGAGCUAGAGGAUGGUAGAGGGAGGUGGAAUUCCGGGUGUAGCGGUGGAAUGCGCAGAUAUCCGGAGGAACACCAGGGGCGAAAGCGGCCUCCUGGACCAUUCCUGACACUCAUGCGCGAAAGCUAGGGUAGCAAGGG